RNAcentral lists this ribosomal RNA (403 nucleotides) under uncultured bacterium. RNAcentral describes it as "bacterial SSU rRNA". It matches the Rfam family "Bacterial small subunit ribosomal RNA", at positions 355 to 775 of the family's 1533-position model. The record is from RNAcentral.
UAGGGAAUAUUAGUAAUGGGCGAAAGCCUGAACUAGCAACGCCGCGUGUGCGAAGAAGGCCUUCGGGUUGUAAAGCACUUUUUGAGAGGAUGAGGAAGGACGGUACUCUCAGAAUAAGUCUCGGCUAACUACGUGCCAGCAGCCGCGGUAACACGUAGGAGGCAAACGUUAUCCGGAUUUACUGGGCGUAAAGCGCGUGUAGGUGGUUUGGUAAGUAGGGCGUGAAAGCUCCUGGCUCAACUGGGAGAGGACGUUCUAAACUGCCAAGCUUGAGGAUGGUAGAGGGAGGUGGAAUUCCGGGUGUAGCGGUGGAAUGCGCAGAUAUCCGGAGGAACACCAGUGGCGAAGGCGGCCUCCCGGACCACUCCUGACACUCAGACGCGAAAGCUAGGAGAGCAAACAG